This 3102-nucleotide long non-coding RNA is filed under the name Papio anubis (olive baboon). RNAcentral's name for it is "lncRNA (ENSPANG00000044777.1)". Lineage: Eukaryota; Metazoa; Chordata; Mammalia; Primates; Cercopithecidae. The record is from RNAcentral.
UUAAAGUCCAGAGGAUUACAAUCUUUCUACAUGUUUGCUAAUUCAGAAUUAUAUAAUUUUGACCAGAUUUGUUCCUUAAUUUAUGGACUCUCAGAAUCUUCUUAUUUUUCAAAUAAUGUUUCUUUUUCACUUUUUUUUUUUUUUUUAAAUUUAAAAUUCCCGGAGAGACUCAAGGAACACUCCAGGAGUAUUGAACAAAAAGAUAUUUGAGUCAAAGAUCUGGUAUCUCAAAUCUGUGCCUUUUUUUGCAUAGUCAUCUCAUUUUAUGCUUAAUUCUGCUGAAAAGCAGCACAUGUGGUGUGAAAUUAUACCGGACUGCUGACCUCCUUGCUUGCCACCUGGUCUGUGUUUUCCCCCAUUUAUCUCAAGCUUUCCCUUCUUCUUCAUAAAGUUCCCUGCUGCUCCCAACAAGGAAAGUGACAGCUCAUUCCUUAUACUGACAAGUUGUCUCCCUGCACUGUCUCUUUGUUAUCUCACUGUCUCUCUGUUCUUCUCUCACUGUCUUGCCUAUCUUUAAUAAACACAUUUUUGUCUGAGUGACAAGCAGAGUAAUUCAGCUCAUUAUAAUUAGCAGCACUGCCCUUCUUUUACUAGAAAACUUUAAAAAGUCAAUGUCUAAAUAUAGAAUUGAAAUGAGGAAGUAUGCUUUCCAGUUCUUGAUUCUCUCCAUCACUUUCUUGCUGUGGGGACAGCAGGGAACUGCUUGACCUCUGGAUUUCCUUUGGUUCAAUUAAGGUGAUAAUUCUUGCCUUGCCUUACAGAUGUAGUCUGCAGCAUGACAAGGAGGAUGAAGGGAAUGCCAGUUUGGAAAGGCUGACUUGGUGGGUGAGCAGCAGACAGUGGGGGAGACACAGUGUGACAGUAAUCCCUCUAUUUCUGGUUCAGAGGCUUCCGAAGAAACAGGACUUGAAAGCAGAGAAGAAAAACUGUCAGGAGCUUAGAGACAUCUUCGUGUCGUGCAUCAAAAAACAGCUUGAGGAGUCAGACACAUUCUGCUACUUGCUACCUGAGUGUUGUUGCAGAGGUUACUUCAAAACCUCAAUUCCUCAGUUGCCUCCUCUGAUAAAGGCACUGAUAAACUUUACUUUUCAGGGGAAACCUGAGGAUGAAGUUAUAUAUGGGAGAACACCUGGUAUACACUUAGGGCAUAUUACUUGUCUUUCUUUCCUCUUUAAAGUGGAAAGAUGCUCAGGAAAGACAAACUAGUAGCUGCCGUUGGGUCUGUAAGCAGAUCUUGAUUGCAAGAUAACCUUCUGGCUUCUGGAUGAUCUAGGGGAAGACAGGUUGAGAAAUUCUCACAGUGAAGUGGCAGAAAUGCCAGGAUUUGAUUAUGUUUCUAGAUGUUCUUAUGAAUCUAAGAUCCAAAGUGUGUUGAUUUAAAAAAAGCCUCCUACUCUUGUCUUGAUUUAAAAAAAAAAUAAAAACUUUGAAAUGAGCUGCAAUUAGCUCAGUGUAUUAGUCAGGGUUCUCUAGAGGGACAGAACUAAUGGAACAUAUAUAUAUAUAUAUAAAGGGGAGUUUAUUAGGUAUUAGCUCACAUAAUCACAAGGUCCCACAAUAGGCUGUCUGCAGGCUGAGGAUCAAGGAGAGCCAGUCUGAGAUCCAAAACUGAAGAACUUGGAGUCUGAUGUUGGGGGGUAGGAAGCAUCCAGCACCAGAGAAAGAUGUAGGCUGGGAGGCUAGUCCAGUCUCUCCUUUUUGCUUUUUUCUGCCUGCUUUAUAUUUUUGGGAGAUGAUUAGAUUGCGUCCACCAGAUUAAGGGUGGGUCUGCCUUCCCCAGCCCACUGACUCAAAUGUUGAUCUCCUUUGGCAACACCCUCACAGACACACCCAGGAACAGUACUUUGCAUCCUUCAAUCCAAUCAAAUUGAGUCUCAGUAUUAACCAUCACAAGUUUAACCCUUGUCAACUUGAACCCAUACACAUCUCCUGAGAUCAUACAUAAUCUUCAAAUAAAGACGAUUAUAAGGUCAUAAUUAUACCUAAUAUAUUACAAUUCUUCACGCAACCAGAAACGCACCAAUUGUCAAUGCAAAUACCAUUACAUGAAGUUAUCAAUACAUAAAUGCUGAUAUGAAGUCAACAAAUCUUAUGUCACAUCAUAAAGGAAAAGGAAAUAAAGUGAAGAUAUUUUCUUAGUACAAGUGUAUACAUGUGCAAAUAUGUUUUUAACAAAAGAAGGAGGAAAUACUCAUGACAGUUACAGUCCUUAUUUCUCAGCUGGUCACGUGGUUAUAGCUGGUAUUGAUUACUACUGUCUUCUACUAGCCAUUCAUUCUGCAUUCCCUUUGCUUUCAGUAAGCACCUCAGCAGGUGGUUUUUUGUUUUUGUUUUUGUUUUUGUUUUUUCUGGUGGUGUGACCCAAACCUUCAUUCCUGAGGGAUCUGGACCAUUUGUAGUCCUUCCUGGACUGGGUUGUUGUAGUUUCACAUUGACUUUAAUAACAGGGCAUGGUAAUACUGAGACACUCUAAUGGAUCUCCUGUAUUCCAUGCAUGAUCUUCCUUACCUCCAUUAUAGAGUAGUAGACUGAUUUCAUCUUGAUAGCCCAGGUCAAUCACACCGGCCAACACUGUAUGUAACUCCCUUCUUAGCCUGUUGACUUAAAGGUAGGAGGAGUCCAAAGCAUCCACGUGGCAAUCUUAACUUCCAGUUUAAUGGAAUUGUUGUUUUGUCUCCUGGUGGCAGUGUUCCUCCCUCUGGAACUCAGACCUCUAGACCAGCAGAAUGUAAUGUGGCAGGAACAGGAAGCAAAAAUUUUGCUAGCGGAUCACUAGCAAUGAUGGUGUGUAGUGCCACUUCCACUUCCACCCCUUGAUUCCUGGACCCAUGAAUCCUGGCUAUAGGAGAAACAGUACCAUAUAUUGAAUGCUGAUUCAGAGCAUACAUGCUUCUUCCAAGUCCCUUCUGGAGAACUUUGCCUCAGCCCUCCAAAGUAUUGUCACCUAGUUGGCAUUGUAACUGUGACUUCAAAAGGCCAUUCCACCAUUCUAUCAAUCCAGCUGCUUCAGGAUGAUGGGGAGCAUGAUAAGACCAGUGAAUUCCAUGAGCAUGAGCCCGCUGCCACAGUUCUUUAGCUGUAAAGUGAGUGCCUUGGUCAGAG